Molecule: ribosomal RNA, 254 nt
Filed under: uncultured bacterium
Lineage: Bacteria
Description: partial 16S ribosomal RNA
Rfam family: Bacterial small subunit ribosomal RNA
Source: RNAcentral
UACGUAGGGCGCAAGCGUUAUCCGGAAUUAUUGGGCGUAAAGAGCUCGUAGGCGGUCUGUCGCGUCUGCUGUGAAAACUCGGGGCUUAACCCCGGGCCUGCAGUGGGUACGGGCAAACUGGAGUGUUGCAGGGGAGACUGGAAUUCCUGGUGUAGCGGUGAAACUGCGCAGAUAUCAGGAGGAACACCGGUGGCGAAGGCGGGUCUCUGGGCCGAUACUGACGCUGAGGAGCGAAAGCGUGGGGAGCGAACAGG